UUAAUACAUCAUGAGAACAAGAUUCUUAUGUAAACCUACCUUCCGUGGCUAAUUCAUUUAAAUUUGGCAAGAACGUGGUGAAAGUAAUUAAUCCACACAAAAAAUUACAAAUAAAUUUACCGUUAUACCGGACAACAGAGAAAUACAUUAAACCACAAAUCAAAUUCGGAACACGCUUAGAUAACCCGUGAUUCUGUUUUUAUCCCCAACAUCUAUCAGAUAGUUACAAUAUAUAUAUAUAUAUAAAGUUCAUAUUCAGAGUUAUAAUUGUAAAAUUAUAGAGAAUUAAUGUAUUUAAUGAUAAACAAUGUAUAAAUG
This 318-nucleotide long non-coding RNA is filed under the name Mytilus galloprovincialis (Mediterranean mussel). Lineage: Eukaryota; Metazoa; Mollusca; Bivalvia; Mytilida; Mytilidae. The record is from RNAcentral.